This is a non-coding RNA of Paramuricea clavata, 302 nucleotides long. NCBI's taxonomy places the organism in Eukaryota, Metazoa, Cnidaria, Anthozoa, Malacalcyonacea, Plexauridae. The record is from the annotation of a GenBank genome assembly.
GUACCCCUCACCCCUCUGACGCCACCCUAGAUAUAAUUGUUUCUGAUACUAAGAAUAGAUUGAAUUUAUAAAAUUAUAUGUAAAUGAAUAAUUAUUUAGAAUUUAGUAUAUACAAAUGAACAUAGUGUUUGUUGUGAAAUAGAAUAACUGCGUAAGAGUUUAAAAGUAAAUUGCACGUUUUAAUGAUUCAGUACACUUUAGGCCGGUUUGACAUGAUUGCAUUGCUAAUUGAACAUAUCUUGAAAGUUGAUAAACAUGAAAACGACACAACUUUUGUGGAAUUGAUUAACAUUAAUAAAAGU